RNAcentral lists this transfer RNA (74 nucleotides) under Ostreococcus lucimarinus CCE9901. RNAcentral's name for it is "tRNA-Val (CAC) (tRNA-Val-CAC-1-1)". It matches the Rfam family "tRNA". Rfam says of the family: Transfer RNA (tRNA) molecules are approximately 80 nucleotides in length. Their secondary structure includes four short double-helical elements and three loops (D, anti-codon, and T loops). The record is from Rfam by way of RNAcentral. Lineage: Eukaryota; Viridiplantae; Chlorophyta; Mamiellophyceae; Mamiellales; Bathycoccaceae.
GUUGGGUUGGUAUAGUUGGUUAUUACGUCCGCCUCACACGCGGAAGGUCAGGAGUUCGAACCUCCUACCCAAUA